CCUUAAUCCCACAUAUUCUCUUUACCCGAUCUCCUUCUCGCAGCGGCGGCUGAAUCCUUCUCCAGCGGUGGCGGAAUCCUUCUCCUGCAGCGGCGCAGGUCUCGCUCGGUGUAGUUGGAGACACUCGUAUCAUAAAGCACUUUUGUAGAUCUUCCCCGUGGUCAUUAGAGGUGACAUCUAAUAUUUUUUUUCCCCUCUUGUUCUACAAGCUAUUUGAAGAAAAAUGUUCCGCUCUAAGUCAGAUUCCUCCGCGUGACGAUGAUGAUGAUGGCGACGAUGAUAACGAUGAUGCUGGAUUGGUGAGGCGAAAUAUGUAUCGGAGAAAAAAGAAGAGAAGAGUUGAUGGGGAUGAAAGAUUUUGUGGAG
Long non-coding RNA from Zingiber officinale, 366 nucleotides. RefSeq lists it as uncharacterized. NCBI's taxonomy places the organism in Eukaryota, Viridiplantae, Streptophyta, Magnoliopsida, Zingiberales, Zingiberaceae. The transcript is spliced from 6 exons. The record is from RefSeq and is a predicted model, not a curated record.